GGCCCUAUGGUCAAGCGGUUAAGACAUCGCCCUUUCACGGCGGUAUCCCGGGUUCGAAUCCCGGUAGGGUCA
Finegoldia magna ATCC 29328 is the source of this 72-nucleotide transfer RNA. It matches the Rfam family "tRNA". From Rfam's summary of the family: Transfer RNA (tRNA) molecules are approximately 80 nucleotides in length. Their secondary structure includes four short double-helical elements and three loops (D, anti-codon, and T loops). The record is from Rfam. Lineage: Bacteria; Bacillati; Bacillota; Tissierellia; Tissierellales; Peptoniphilaceae.